AUUGAACGCUGGCGGCAUGCCUUACACAUGCAAGUCGAACGGCAGCACGGGUGCUUGCACCUGGUGGCGAGUGGCGAACGGGUGAGUAAUACAUCGGAACAUGUCCUGUAGUGGGGGAUAGCCCGGCGAAAGCCGGAUUAAUACCGCAUACGAUCCAUGGAUGAAAGCGGGGGACCUUCGGGCCUCGCGCUAUAGGGUUGGCCGAUGGCUGAUUAGCUAGUUGGUGGGGUAAAGGCCUACCAAGGCGACGAUCAGUAGCUGGUCUGAGAGGACGACCAGCCACACUGGGACUGAGACACGGCCCAGACUCCUACGGGAGGCAGCAGUGGGGAAUUUUGGACAAUGGGCGAAAGCCUGAUCCAGCAAUGCCGCGUGUGUGAAGAAGGCCUUCGGGUUGUAAAGCACUUUUGUCCGGAAAGAAAUCCUUGGCUCUAAUACAGUCGGGGGAUGACRRUACCGGAAGAAUAAGCACCGGCUAA
Molecule: ribosomal RNA, 479 nt
Filed under: Burkholderia cepacia
Lineage: Bacteria; Pseudomonadati; Pseudomonadota; Betaproteobacteria; Burkholderiales; Burkholderiaceae
Description: bacterial SSU rRNA
Rfam family: Bacterial small subunit ribosomal RNA
Source: RNAcentral